This 484-nucleotide ribosomal RNA is filed under the name uncultured bacterium. RNAcentral describes it as "partial 16S ribosomal RNA". It matches the Rfam family "Bacterial small subunit ribosomal RNA", at positions 30 to 507 of the family's 1533-position model. The record is from RNAcentral.
AUUGAACGCUGGCGGUAGGCCUAACACAUGCAAGUCGAGCGGAUGAAGGGAGCUUGCUCCUGGAUUCAGCGGCGGACGGGGGUGUAAUGGCUAGGAAUCUGCCUGGUAGUGGGGGAUAACGUCCGGAAACGGGCGCUCAUACUGCAUACGUCCUGAGGGAGAAAGUGUGGAAUCUUCGGAUCUCACGCUAUUAGAUGAGCCUAGGUCGGAUUAGCUAUUUGGUGGGGUAAAGGCCUACCAACGCUACGAUCCGUAACUGGUCUGUGAGGAUGAUCAGUCACACUGGAACUGAGACACGGUACAGAUUCCUACGGGCGGCAGCAGUGGGGAGUAUUGGACAAUGGGCGAAAACCUGAUCCAGCCAAGCCAAGUGAGUGAAGAAGGUCUUCGGAUUGUAAAGCCCUUUAAGUUGGGAUGAAGAGCAGUAAGUUAAUCCCUCGCUGUUUUGACGAUACCAACAGAAUAGGCACCGGCUAACUUCGUG